This 320-nucleotide unclassified non-coding RNA is filed under the name uncultured Monosporascus. RNAcentral's name for it is "sequence contains ITS1". The stretch from base 1 to 105 matches the Rfam family "5.8S ribosomal RNA", at positions 50 to 154 of the family's 154-position model. The record is from RNAcentral. Lineage: Eukaryota; Fungi; Ascomycota; Sordariomycetes; Sordariales.
GAAAUGCGAUAAGUAAUGUGAAUUGCAGAAUUCAGUGAAUCAUCGAAUCUUUGAACGCACAUUGCGCCUAUUAGUAUCCUAAUGGGCAUGCCUGUUCGAGCGUCAUUUCAACCCUCAAGCCCUAGUUGCUUGGUGUUGGGAGCUUAUCCUGCCGGAAGGCGGGACAACUCCUUAAAGUUAUUUGGCGGAGUCGCGGUGACCCCAAGCGCCGUAAUUCCUUUUUGUCGCUUUAGGUGUUAUUGCCGGCUUCUAGCCACUAAACCCCCCCCAAUUUUCUAAUGGUUGCCCUCGGAUCAGGUAGGACUACCCGCUGAACUUAA